Molecule: ribosomal RNA, 497 nt
Filed under: uncultured bacterium
Lineage: Bacteria
Description: partial 16S ribosomal RNA
Rfam family: Bacterial small subunit ribosomal RNA
Source: RNAcentral
GAUGAACGCUGGCGGCGUGCCUAAUACAUGCAAGUCGAGCGAACGGACGAGAAGCUUGCUUCUCUGAUGUUAGCGGCGGACGGGUGAGUAACACGUGGAUAACCUACCUAUAAGACUGGGAUAACUUCGGGAAACCGGAGCUAAUACCGGAUGAUAUUUUGAACCGCAUGGUUCAAAAGUGAAAGACGGUCUUGCUGUCACUUAUAGAUGGAUCCGCGCUGCAUUAGCUAGUUGGUAAGGUAACGGCUUACCAAGGCAACGAUGCAUAGCCGACCUGAGAGGGUGAUCGGCCACACUAGAACUGAGACACGGUCCAGACUCCUACGGGAGGCAGCAGUAGGGAAUCUUCCGCAAUGGGCGAAAGCCUGACGGAGCAACGCCGCGUGAGUGAUGAAGGUCUUCGGAUCGUAAAACUCUGUUAUUAGGGAAGAACAUAUGUGUAAGUAACUGUGCACAUCUUGACGGUACCUACUCAGAAAGCCACGGCUAACUACGUG